RNAcentral lists this ribosomal RNA (424 nucleotides) under Megaselia hendersoni. RNAcentral's name for it is "partial 16S ribosomal RNA". Lineage: Eukaryota; Metazoa; Arthropoda; Insecta; Diptera; Phoridae. The record is from RNAcentral.
UUUUAGAAAUUAAUUUAAAGUCUAACCUGCCCACUGAAAUUUUAAAUGGCCGCAGUAUCCUAACUGUGCAAAGGUAGCAUAAUCAUUAGUCUUUUAAUUGAAGGCUGGAAUGAAUGGUUGAAUGAAAUAUUAACUGUUUCAUAAAAAUUUAUAAUAGAAUUUUAUUUUUUAGUCAAAAAGCUAAAAUAUUAUUAAAAGACGAGAAGACCCUAUAAAUCUUUAUAUUAAUAUAUUUUUAAUUAUUUAGAUAAAUUAAAUUAUAAAUAAAAUUAAUAUUUUAUUGGGGUGAUAUUAAAAUUUAAUAAACUUUUAAUUAUAAAUUAACAUAAAUUAAUGAAUUAUUGAUCCAUAAAUAAUGAUUAAAAAUUUAAGUUACUUUAGGGAUAACAGCGUAAUUUUUUUAGAGAGUUCAUAUUGAUAAAAA